UCCCUUUCAUCUUGAGUAUUCCUCCAUUUGAGUAGAAUUUUACCCGUUGAACACAUCGGAAUAUAAUUCGGAUACAUGGAAAGUUUGCACAUAAGUGCCACAUAUGUAGCCAAGCUACCAUGUAACCCGCCCAUAAGUGAACUCGGACUCAACUCAACGAGCUCGGGCGUUCGCAUCCAUAAGUGAACUCGGACUCAACUCAACGAGCUCGGAUGCCUAGUUACAUCUCUCGAACUCGGACUCAACUGAACGAGUUCGGACAUUCGCAUCCAUAAGUGAACUCGG
RNAcentral lists this long non-coding RNA (285 nucleotides) under Gossypium barbadense (sea-island cotton). RNAcentral's name for it is "long non-coding RNA (GBAR_LNC010566)". Lineage: Eukaryota; Viridiplantae; Streptophyta; Magnoliopsida; Malvales; Malvaceae. The record is from RNAcentral.